RNAcentral lists this ribosomal RNA (2943 nucleotides) under Bacillota bacterium. Its description in RNAcentral is "23S ribosomal RNA". It matches the Rfam family "Bacterial large subunit ribosomal RNA". The record is from RNAcentral. Lineage: Bacteria; Bacillati; Bacillota.
GAUCAAGCGAAAAAGAGCGUAUGGUGGAUGCCUUGGCACUAGACGCCGAUGAAGGACGCGAUAAGCUGCGAAAAGCUACGGUUAGCCGCAAGUAGGCAAUGACCCGUAGAUAUCCGAAUGUGGGAACACACUAGAAUUAAUCUUCUAGUAUUAAUACAUAAAUACAUAGUGUAUUAAAGGGAACCUUGGGAACUGAAACAUCUUAGUACCAAGAGGAAAAGAAAGUAAACAAACGAUUACCUAAGUAGUGGUGAGCGAACGGGUAAGAGCCCAAACCUAUGGUAGCAAUACGAUAGGGGUUAGGUACUGCGACAAAAUGAAAUAAGUUAUUGUAAUUGAAGAUAGUUGGAAAGCUACACGAAACAAAGUAAAAGUCUUGUAAAUGAAACAAUAAUGAAUCAUGAGCAGAUAACCAGAGUAAUACCGAGCACGAGGAAUUUGGUAUGAAUGAGCGAGGACCAUCUCGUAAGGCUAAAUACGAUCUAGUGACCGAUAGCGAACAAGUACCGUGAGGGAAAGGUGAAAAGAACCCCGGGAGGGGAGUGAAAGAGAACCUGAAACCAUAUGUUUACAAACGGAGGAAGCGAGUUAAAUUGCGACCUCGUACUUUUUGUAGAACGGGCCGGCGAGUUACGGUAUGUAGCAAGGUUAAGUAAUUAAGUUACGGAGCCGAAGCGAAAGCGAGUCUGAAUAGGGCGAGUAAAGUUGCAUAUCGUAGACCCGAAACCCAGUGACCUAUCCAUGAGCAGGUUGAAACAAGGGUAAAACCUUGCGGAGGACCGAACCCACGUCUGUUGAAACAUCCGGGGAUGAUUUGUGGAUAGCGGAGAAAUUCUAAUCGAACUGGGAUAUAGCUGGUUCUCCUCGAAAUAGCUUUAGGGCUAGCCUCUAGCGAAGAUAUAUGAGGGUAGAGCACUGAAUGGAUGCGGGGGUUUCACAACCUACUAAAUCUUAUCAAACUCCGAAUAUCAUAUAUUAAUACUAGGGAGUCAGGCGGUGUGAGAUAAGUUUCAUCGCCAAAAGGGAAACAGCCCAGAUCUACAACUAAGGUCCCCAAGUUUAUGUUAAGUGGAAAAGGAUGUUUAAUUGCUAAAACAACCAGGAUGUUGGCUUAGAAGCAGCCAUACAUUAAAAGAGUGCGUAAUAGCUCACUGGUCGAGUGACUAAGCGCCGAAGAUGUAACGGGGCUAAAACAUAACACCGAAGUUUAGGGAUAGGAGAGAUCCUAUCGGUAGAGGAGCAAUGUGUACUGGGCAGAAGCCAAACCGGAAGGGUUGGUGGACUGUACACAAGAGAGAAUGCCGGCAUGAGUAGCGAGAGCGAAGCGAGAACCUUCGCCGUCGAAAGUCUAAGGUUUCCUGGGGAAGGGCAGUCCUCCCAGGGUAAGUCAGGACCUAAGCUGAGGGCGAAAGCCGUAGGUGAUGGACAACAGGUAGAUAUUCCUGUACCACCGUGUAUCGAUAAAGAGUUGACGCAGGGACGCAGAAGGAUAGUAGAACCAUGGGGAUGGAAAACCAUGGCCAAAUCAUGAGGCAAACAAGUAGUGAAGUACGCUUGUUAUCAAAAUGCUAGGUGAUGAUGGGGAGUGAAAAUUAGUAAUGAAGUCUAUGAAUUCACGCUGACGAGAAAAUCUGCUAAAUAGAUACAAGGUGCCUGUACCGCAAACCGACACAGGUAGACGAUAUGAGAAAUAUAAGACGAACGGGAGAACCAUUGUUAAGGAACUCUGCAAAAUUACCUCGUAACUUCGGGAGAAGAGGUGCCUAUGGAGACAUAGGCCGCAGUGAAGAGGCCCAAGCGACUGUUUACCAAAAACACAGGUUUCUGCAAAAUCGCAAGAUGAAGUAUAGGAGCUGACGCCUGCCCGGUGCUGGAAGGUCAAGGGGAUGAGUUAGAAGAGUCAAGAAUAUUGCCUUCGAAGCCCAGAACUUAAGCCCCAGUGAACGGCGGCCGUAACUAUAACGGUCCUAAGGUAGCGAAAUUCCUUGUCAGGUAAGUUCUGACCCGCAUGAAUGGCGUAACGAUUUGGGCGCUGUCUCAACAAUGGACCCGGCGAAAUUGAAGUAUGCGUGAAGAUACGUAUUACCCGUGGCAGGACGGAAAGACCCCGUAGAGCUUUACUGUAGUUUAAUAUUGGAUUUCGAUUUUGUAUGUACAGGAUAGGUGGGAGACUAAGAAGCCAGUUCGUUAGGAUUGGUGGAGUCAACGUUGGGAUACCACUCUUGCAAGGUUGAAGUUCUAACGGUUAGCCAUAAUCUGGUAACCGGACAGUGUUAGAUGGGCAGUUUGACUGGGGCGGUCGCCUCCAAAAGAGUAACGGAGGCGUUCAAAGGUUCCCUCAUAAUGGUUGGAAACCAUUAACAGAGUGCAAAGGCAUAAGGGAGCUUAACUGCAACACAUACACGUGGAGCAGAUACGAAAGUAGGACUUAGUGAUCUGAUGGUAGAAAAUGGAAUUGCCAUCACUUAACGGAUAAAAGUUACCUCGGGGAUAACAGGCUGAUACUUCCCAAGCGUCCACAGCGACGGGAGUGUUUGGCACCUCGAUGUCGGCUCGUCACAUCCUGGGGCUGAAGUAGGUCCCAAGGGUUCGGCUGUUCGCCGAUUAAAGUGGUACGCGAGCUGGGUUCAGAACGUCGUGAGACAGUUCGGUCCCUAUCCGCCAUGGGCGUUGGAUAUUUGAGAGGAUUUGCUCCUAGUACGAAAGGACCGGAGUGAACAUACCAAUUGUGCACCUGUUGUUUCGCCAGAAGCACGGCAGGGUAGCGAAGUAUGGACAGGAUAAACGCUGAAAGCAUCUAAGCGUGAAACCCACCUCAAGAUGAGAUAUCCCAUAACUUUAAGUUAGUAAGACCCCUUAGAGACGAUAAGGUUGAUAGGCCAGAGAUGGAAGAGUAGUAAUAUUUGUAGUUGACUGGUACUAAUAGGUCGAGGGCUUGAUCUC